AGUGGCGAACGGGUGAGUAACGCGUGAGGAACCUGCCUCAAAGAGGGGGACAACAGUUGGAAACGACUGCUAAUACCGCAUAAGCCCACAGGUCGGCAUCGACCAGAGGGAAAAGGAGCAAUCCGCUUUGAGAUGGCCUCGCGUCCGAUUAGCUAGUUGGUGAGGUAACGGCCCACCAAGGCAACGAUCGGUAGCCGGACUGAGAGGUUGAACGGCCACAUUGGGACUGAGACACGGCCCAGACUCCUACGGGAGGCAGCAGUGGGGAAUAUUGCGCAAUGGGGGCAACCCUGACGCAGCAACGCCGCGUGCAGGAAGAAGGUCUUCGGAUUGUAAACUGUUGUCGCAAGGGAAGAAGACAGUGACGGUACCUUGUGAGAAAGUCACGGCUAACUACGUGCCAGCAGCCGCGGUAAUACGUAGGUGACAAGCGUUGUCCGGAUUUACUGGGUGUAAAGGGCGCGUAGGCGGACUGUCAAGUCAGUCGUGAAAUACCGGGGCUUAACCCCGGGGCUGCGAUUGAAACUGACAGCCUUGAGUAUCGGAGAGGAAAGCGGAAUUCCUAGUGUAGCGGUGAAAUGCGUAGAUAUUAGGAGGAACACCAGUGGCGAAGGCGGCUUUCUGGACGACAACUGACGCUGAGGCGCGAAAGUGUGGGGAGCAAACAGGAUUAGAUACCCUGGUAGUCCACACCGUAAACGAUGGAUACUAGGUGUAGGAGGUAUCGACCUCUUCUGUGCCGCAGUUAACACAAUAAGUAUCCCACCUGGGGAGUACGACCGCAAGGUUGAAACUCAAAGGAAUUGACGGGGGCCCGCACAAGCAGUGGAUGAUGUGGAUUAAUUCGAUGCAACGCGAAAAACCUUACCUAGCCUUGACAUGCCAGGAAUCCUGAAGAGAUUCGGGAGUGCCCGCAAGGGAAUUUGGACACAGGUGCUGCAUGGCUGUCGUCAGCUCGUGUCGUGAGAUGUUGGGUUAAGUCCCGCAACGAGCGCAACCCUUAUCUUUAGUAGCCAGCGGUCAGGCCGGGCACUCUAGAGAGACUGCCAGGGAUAACCUGGAGGAAGGCGGGGAUGACGUCAAAUCAUCAUGCCCCUUAUGACUUGGGCUACACACGUGCUACAAUGGCGUAAACAAAGGGAAGCAAAGCUGUGAAGCCGAGCAAGUCUCAAAAAUAACGUCUCAGUUCGGACUGUAGUCUGCAACCCGACUACACGAAGCUGGAAUCGCUAGUAAUCGCAGAUCAGAAUGCUGCGGUGAAUACGUUCCCGGGUCUUGCACUCACCGCCCGUCA
RNAcentral lists this ribosomal RNA (1294 nucleotides) under uncultured bacterium. Its description in RNAcentral is "bacterial SSU rRNA". It matches the Rfam family "Bacterial small subunit ribosomal RNA", at positions 94 to 1399 of the family's 1533-position model. The record is from RNAcentral.